UACGGAGGGGGCCAGCGUUGUUCGGAAUUACUGGGCGUAAAGCGCACGUAGGCGGAUCGAUCAGUCAGGGGUGAAAUCCCAGGGCUCAACCCUGGAACUGCCUUUGAUACUGUCGAUCUGGAGUAUGGAAGAGGUGAGUGGAAUUCCGAGUGUAGAGGUGAAAUUCGUAGAUAUUCGGAGGAACACCAGUGGCGAAGGCGGCUCACUGGUCCAUUACUGACGCUGAGGUGCGAAAGCGUGGGGAGCAAACAGG
This 253-nucleotide ribosomal RNA is filed under the name uncultured bacterium. RNAcentral's name for it is "partial 16S ribosomal RNA". It matches the Rfam family "Bacterial small subunit ribosomal RNA", at positions 524 to 776 of the family's 1533-position model. The record is from RNAcentral.